This 876-nucleotide ribosomal RNA is filed under the name uncultured archaeon. RNAcentral's name for it is "bacterial SSU rRNA". It matches the Rfam family "Archaeal small subunit ribosomal RNA", at positions 44 to 926 of the family's 1478-position model. The record is from RNAcentral.
CUAAGCCAUGCGAGUCGAGUGUAGCAAUACAUGGCGUACUGCUCAGUAACACGUGGACAACCUACCCUCCGGACGGGUAUAAACCCGGGAAACUGGGUAUAAUCCCCGAUAGAUCUCGGCCGCUGGAAAGCCCCGAGAUCGAAAGCUCCGGCGCCAGAGGAUGGGUCUGCGGCCUAUCAGGUAGUAGUGGGUGUAGCGUACCUACUAGCCUACGACGGGUACGGGUUGUGAGAGCAAGAGCCCGGAGAUGGAUUCUGAGACACGAAUCCAGGCCCUACGGGGUGCAGCAGGCGCGAAAACUUUACAAUGCCGGCAACGGCGAUAAGGGGACCUCGAGUGCCAGGUUACAAAUCUGGCUGUCGUGAUGCCUAAAAAGCAUUGCAUAGCAAGGGCCGGGCAAGACCGGUGCCAGCCGCCGCGGUAACACCGGCGGCUCGAGUGGUAACCGUUAUUAUUGGGUCUAAAGGGUCUGUAGCCGGCCGGAUAAGUCUCUUGAGAAAUCCAGCAGCUCAACUGUUGGGCUUUCAGGAGAUACUGUCUGGCUCGAGGCCGGGAGAGGUGAGAGGUACUUCAGGGGUAGGGGUGAAAUCUUGUAAUCCUUGAAGGACCACCAGUGGCGAAGGCGUCUCACCAGAACGGACCUGACGGCAAGGGACGAAAGCUAGGGGCACGAACCGGAUUAGAUACCCGGGUAGUCCUAGCCGUAAACGAUACUCGCUAGGUGUCGGCCACGGUGCGACCGUUGUCGGUGCCGUAGGGAAGCCGUGAAGCGAGCCACCUGGGAAGUACGGCCGCAAGGCUGAAACUUAAAGGAAUUGGCGGGGGAGCACACAACGGGUGGAGCUUGCGGUUUAAUUGGAUUCAACGCCGGAAAUC